This is a long non-coding RNA of Thalassophryne amazonica, 616 nucleotides long. RefSeq lists it as uncharacterized. The record is from RefSeq and is a predicted model, not a curated record. NCBI's taxonomy places the organism in Eukaryota, Metazoa, Chordata, Actinopteri, Batrachoidiformes, Batrachoididae. The transcript has 4 exons.
GUCAAAAUUGAUGACUGGCUCAUGGACUAACACUAGGAGUGUCAUAUUACAUGAUGUAGUUGUUAUUGAGCUGUGCAGUACACUCGUGAUGGUUCCAUGCACAGAACUCCACGCAGAAUACACGGUACGACUGCAUAGCAUGAUGUGUGUGUCACUCUAGUUUCAAGUUCUGUGCAAGUUCUGUGCAUGCCUCCCCCAGUGUAGGAGGCAUGGCCACACCCCUGAGGUUAAAAGAGGAAACAGCAAAUCAGCCAAUUGAAGCGAGUCACUGGAUUAUUCCAAUCAGAAACUCCGGAAGCACAAAUGGAAUUAGUUAAUUUAACUUUUCCUUCCGAAUCACGAAAUUAAACGUGAUCUUGCAUUUGUGUUAAAUCGUUGUCCCGGGAUAAGAUCAGUGUGCAUUUUAGUUUACACAGAAAUUAGAAUUAAUCAACUACACAGUAAAAUCAUCCCAAUGUGAAUGACAAGAAAUGCCAUCAAUUCAGAAAGGUUUAAUGCAAAAAAAAAAGAAGUUAUAUUUACACUUUGUCUCACAGUGUUAAUGUGUCUGAUGGCAGCUCUCUGCUUCUCAGAUUAAAGGUACUGUACCAAACUCAUAACAAACCGUGACAUCCAA